This is a non-coding RNA of Malus domestica (apple), 2295 nucleotides long. The record is from RefSeq and is a predicted model, not a curated record. NCBI's taxonomy places the organism in Eukaryota, Viridiplantae, Streptophyta, Magnoliopsida, Rosales, Rosaceae.
GAUUUGAGCUCAGUGGUCAGAUAAAACUAGAAUCACCAAGCAUAUGAUCAUAUCAAACACCCAAAUUUCGACCAUUCCUGCAUUUCAUCAACAAAAUCUCUGUACCUCCUAGACCGCCAUGGCCAUGGCGUCGUGGUUCUCUCGCCUCCGCCGUUCCUCACAGCGCUUCUUCUUCACCUCCUCCGCCCUCCGAACCUCCAUGUCCACCAAGCUGGCGAGAACCCAAAAUACAACGAACUCCGAGAGCCCGAAAACCCCAUUUCUCUUGUGGUCGAGCUCGCUGCUUCCGGUCGCACUCGCAGUCUCAGCCGGAUCGCUUGCCCUCCGCCCCCAAUUGGACCCAUCACUCUGUGAAGCCCCCAGUGCAAAUUCUCGCAACGAGUUUGUUGUUAAAGGGCUGUGCAAGGAAGUCCCACAAGAGCUUGUUGAUGAAUUGAAGGAUGUUUGUCAAGAUAACAUGACAAUGGAUUAUGAGGAGAGGUAUAACCAUGGAAAACCGCAGAACAGCUUUCACAAAGCGGUUAAUAUUCCCGACAUCGUUGUGUUUCCGGGGUCUGAAGAGCAAGUUUCUAUGAUAGUCAAGUCAUGCGACAAGCAUAAGGUUCCAAUUGUACCAUAUGGCGGAGCUACAUCCAUUGAGGGUCACACCUUGUCUCCCAAUGGAGGUGUUUGCAUUGACAUGUCAUUAAUGAAUCAUGUUAAAGCAUUACAUAUUGAGGACAUGGAUGUUGUUGUUGAGCCUGGGAUUGGAUGGAUGGAGCUUAAUGAAUACCUGGCUCCUUAUGGUCUAUUUUUUCCCCUGGAUCCAGGGCCUGGUGCAACAAUUGGAGGAAUGUGCGCGACACGUUGCUCUGGUUCCUUAGCUGUUAGGUAUGGAACCAUGCGUGAUAAUGUCAUCAGUCUCAAGGUAGUUCUUGCAAAUGGAGAUAUUGUUAAGACUGCAUCUCGUGCUAGAAAGAGUGCUGCAGGGUAUGAUUUGACCCGCCUGGUGAUUGGAAGUGAAGGAACACUUGGUGUAAUAACGGAAGUCACUCUACGCCUUCAGAAAAUUCCGCAAUACUCAGUGGUUGCUAUGUGUAAUUUCCCUUCAAUUAAGGAUGCAGCAGAUGUUGCUAUUGCUACUAUGCUGUCGGGCAUUCAGGUUUCACGGGUUGAACUACUGGAUGAGGUUCAAGUGAGGGCAAUCAACAUUGCGAAUGGGAAGAAUUUUCUUGAAACUCCAACUUUAAUGUUCGAAUUUAUAGGCACAGAGGCAUAUUCCCGUGAGCAAACCCAUAUAGUUCAACAGAUUGUUUCUGAACACAAUGGCUCAGACUUUGUUUUUGCGGAAGACCCUGAAGCUAAAAAGGAACUCUGGAAGAUAAGGAAGGAGGCACUCUGGGCAUGCUUUGCAAUGGAGCCUAAUUUUGAGGCAAUGAUUUCGGAUGUAUGUGUUCCUUUAUCAUGUCUUGCAGAAUUGAUAUCAAGGUCCAAAGAACAGCUGGAUGCAUCAGAACUUGUUUGCACAGUUAUUGCUCAUGCUGGUGACGGGAACUUCCAUACAGUGAUUCUAUUUGACCCUAACAAUGAAGAACAUCGACGAGAAGCAGAGAGACUGAACCAUUUUAUGGUCCAUACUGCCUUGUCAAUGGAAGGAACAUGUACCGGUGAACAUGGCGUUGGUACAGGAAAAAUGAAGGUACUUAAUUUUCUGUUGACUUGCUAGCCGUUUAAGUUUCUGGCCAAUGUUAUGGAAGGCAUAUGUCGGCACGGAUAGUUAAAUCAGAAGCGUAAAUACUAUAUAGUGAAAGUUAUAAAUAAACUAGAUGGACUUUGGGCGUUACGAUAUCUUGAGCAAGAACUGGGAAUGGAGGCUUUGAAGACAAUGAAAAGAAUAAAAGCAGCAUUAGAUCCCAACAACACUAUGAAUCCAGGAAAGCUAAUUCCUGCUCAUGUUUGUUUUUAAGAGCUUCACUCUAUUUGCGCAAGCACAUGCACAUCUGCACUCCCUAUGCCUACCAUCUUCCUUCCCGUCGCUGUCGGAAUUGAGAAAUCAAGCUGAAAUCAUUUCGUAUGAUUCUCUUACGUUCUUAUAAUCUUAAAUGGUACCCCAUGCAUAAAAGGAUUGAGGUGAAAACCUGUCUGCUAAGCUUUGUUAAUAUUAAAUAUUUCUCUUAGUGUUGCUUGUUUGCCUUGGAAGCAUUGAUGUGGGAGGCAGGCCUUCGAGAAAACGAUUUGAAAACCAAUAACAUGCAUUGGAAUAUUAAGUGCUGUGUGUUUUAAUGACAUCGGAAUUUGUUAAGUCAAUUUAGAUUA